UCGAGACCAAAACAUAUCAAAAGAUUUAGAGAACUCAUGAAGCGAGUAGCGGCGGCUGCCACUGUGGAUGACCAUCCCAGCCAUUGGCUCGUCCCCUCCUAGGAGGGGUGCGGGGGCCACAGUCGAGGAUGGAUGAAACACAAAUCAGAGCAGCUCCGUGCCAAGGGAAAAUUGAAAGGCAUGGGCCCCGCAUCAGGCUCGGUGGCAUGGAGCAUCAUCACGCUCCAUGCGGAUGGACAUGACUCUCAGUAAUGGAUAUCUCGACUCUCACAUUGAUGAAGAGCGCAGUGAAAUGUGAUAUGUGGUGCGAAUUGCAAAAUACUGAGAACCAUCGAGUCUUUGAACUCAAGUUGCGCUCGAGGCCAGCGGGCUGAGGGCACGUCCGCCUGGGUGUCAAGCAUCACGUCGCUCUGUGCCAACUCUGUCCCCCCGAUGGGUGCAUGUCGGCCAAGGCACGGACGCGUAGGGUGGCCCAUCGUGCCCUUCAGUGUGGCAGGCUAAAGAGCCGGUCAUCGUCUCACUUGCUGUGGGCAAUGAGGGGUGGGUGAAAGCUUUGAGCAUAGCCCGUGUUGUCUCGUGCGGAGCCUGAGAGAAUGACGGUGCCCCCGAAGCAAUCUUGACUCACGCACCGAUCUGCAUGCGAUGGCUUGGAAU
RNAcentral lists this ribosomal RNA (654 nucleotides) under Cymbidium cyperifolium. RNAcentral describes it as "eukaryotic LSU rRNA". The stretch from base 241 to 396 matches the Rfam family "5.8S ribosomal RNA". Lineage: Eukaryota; Viridiplantae; Streptophyta; Magnoliopsida; Asparagales; Orchidaceae. The record is from RNAcentral.